This 7523-nucleotide long non-coding RNA is filed under the name Pelobates cultripes (western spadefoot toad). Lineage: Eukaryota; Metazoa; Chordata; Amphibia; Anura; Pelobatidae. The record is from RNAcentral.
AAGGAGUUAACCCUCAUUCCUUAGUGAUGUAAUAUAGAUAACAUAGCUAAAAUACAGAUAUUCUCAAUACUGACGUCUCUGCAUUUUAGUUCUUAGUAGUCCAGAUCCAAAUGUGUUUUAAAAGCUCUAGAGAGCCAUACCUUUCAAUGGGAGCUUUUGAGAUUUGAGAACGUAUUUACACACGCACAGAAAUGAUCGAAUAUGUUUAGAACGAGGCAGACCUGCCUGCAAUUAGUUUAACUCAUGAAAACUAUGAAUACAAUUUGCUGCUAAGAUUAUACUCAGGAGUGUAUUUCACGUGGCAGCAAGCUGUGCUAAUUUGAAUGCAAGUUACUAAAAAAAUGUAGGUUCCUUCACCAUGGCAUAUAAAGUAAACCUAAAACAAAGGACACUGAUUGAUUCUGUGUCCAUCAUCCAUAGUAAGCACAUUUCAUUACUGUCACUAAAGGUACAAUUCAAGCACCAUAACCACAACAAUAUGCUGUAGUGGCUAUGAAGUAAAGAGUCCAUAGUUACCCCCCUCACCACCCAUUGUAAGUAGUCAUACACACUUAAAAUGGUUUUAUUUCUGACCUGGCUCACAAUGGGUGCAGUCUUUUCCUCCACUAUGUCUGACAGAGAACUAGAAGCUCUCUGUCUGAGCUAAGCUCAGUGGUGCAGGGCUUAGCUCAUUGGCUGAGCAUGAUCAACUGAAACGCUCAGGCAAUAUCCUAGCACUUAACCGAUGAGAAGAAAUUUAGAAUGGAUUAUGAAACAAAUAAAAAAAAAUAACAUAAUAUGAAAUUCCAUCAAAAAACAUCUUCUAUUAAGCCAGUCUCUGGUUUAAAUAGAUAGUAAAGGAACCCUGACCACUUAAUCCUGACCUCCCAAUGCUUCCAUAUGGACAUCAAGUUUGAUGGUGUCAGGUGAGGAGACAGGGAAGCUGUGGUGAGACCUGUGAGCUACAGGAUAAACUCUUAUGUGGGGGAUUGACAACUAAAUAACUAGAAUAACCCUUUGAUGGUUUCAGACUGCCCCAAGACUGGUAUUUGUAGAAUGAGUCAUCACAUGAGCAUAAAACAUGAGAAAAAUAGAUGUUUGGUGUGUAAACUCUAAGAAAGAUUGUGUAACACAUACAUUUUAUUUAAUUUUAAAUGUAAUGGUAUAUUGUUAUCAAAUGGCUUUCUUUUCAAAAUUUCACUGCCAAAGAAUCCCAUUGCGCUUAGCAGGGAGGUGAAUUAAGCACAAGUACAUGCUAAUCUGGCUUUGGCUGCUACAUAAAUACAUUGCAUAACAAAUUCACAGCCUUUGGUUCAGGGUUCCUGUGGAUGUAAAAAGGCUAACCAUAUUUGUACCAGAAUUAUGAUAAAUGCAUUUGUCAACAAUCUGGGUACUGAGGGGUUAAUAUUAUCUAUCUUUUUUUAUCUGACACAUUUUGCUUGUAUUUGUUAGGAUUAGGAAAAGAGUUAAUUAUUUUUGUAAUCACUAUUCAUCCACUUUCCCAUUGUUCACUUUGCCUCCUCACAAAUCUGUCUUACUUGGUUUUGGAUGGCCCGGGAUAGGGGCGCAUGGGUGUGUGUGACUGUUUUUCAGGUCAAAUGCAUUUGGAUUCUUUCCUCAGUGGAUAAACUUGGUAUGAUUGCACUUCAUCUUUGUUUUUACUGUACACAUACUAUAAGCCAUUUUACACUCUGACUAUGGAGCAAUCCAGCAUUGAAAAGAAUAAAGGGAUGUACAGUAAUAGAAAUUGAUCUUUCUUUUUAUAAAGAGAACUCAUAUUCCUGCCAACCCAAUGAUUUCAAUUUAAAAACUUAAGGGAAAGAUCUGAUCAUGAUAAUGCCAUGACUUGAUAAGAACAUUAUAAUUUAAAAAUACAUAUUUUCUUCCUUUAGAACGUUAGAUUACUGGCCUUUAACAAAAGUUAUAAAAUAACCUUAAAGGAACACUAUAGGGUCAGGAACACAAACAUGUAUUCCUGACCCUAUAAGGUUAAACCACCAUCUAGCCACCCUGGUUCCCUCAUGCCUCCCUAAAUAUUGUAAAAUCUUGCUUGUAUUCAAGAUUUUACAAUCCUUUAGACCUGUCCACUGCCUGCUGACAUCAGCAGAAGUGGUAGCCUGAUCCAAUCACAAUACUUCCCCAUAGGAUUGGCUGAGACUGACAAAGAGGCAGAUCAAGGGCAUAGCCAGCACAAUUCAAACACAGCCCUGGCCAAUCAGUGAAUCAAUGCAUCUCUAUGAGGAAAGUUCAGUGUCUGCAUGCAGAGCGAGGAGAUACUGAAUGUUUGGAUGAAUUUUAGGUAGCCAUAACCCAGGAAGGAUCUCUAACAGCUAUCUGAGGAGUGGCCAGUGAAAUUAUCACUAGGCUGUAAUGUAAACACUGCAUUUUCUCUAAAAAUACAGUGUUUACAGCAAAAAGCCUGAAGGUAAUGAUUCUACUCACCAGAACAAAUUCAAUAAGCUGUAGUUGUUCUGGUGACUAUAGUGUCCCUUUAAGCAAUGUUUUAUGUUCAUUGUGAUUUUGCUUUGCUUCUGGCUAAAUAGCUCAUGCUAGUGCCCACUUUAGAUAUUUUCAUACAAUUCAUACAUUUUUAUAGGAAUGUUACCAGGUUGUGUUUUCCCACAAUACAUAGUUUCUCCUUUGUGUGAUGUAUAAUGUAAAAAAGAGCAACAUAUUUGUUUGUAAGAUAUAGCAAGCUGUUUAAAGUCUCCCAGGAAGCCAUGUUGUUCUCCUGCAUUUGUGCUGUGCCUCAGCUGGGUAUAGUGCGUUUUUCAGUUAAGCCUCAUAAAUUUUUACAUGGUAUUUUUUUUUAUUUUUUGUAAAAUGUUGUAUAUAACUUGAAUUUAUUAUGCACAUAUCCUACCCAAUGGGUAGAACACAAAUAUCCAUUGUUAAUACUGUAAUAUACUGUAAAGCCAAUACCAAUUUUAACAAAAUGGCAUAGAUUUUAUGAAAUGCCUAACAUGUCUCUAGUCCUUUUUUGUAAGAAUAUUUGCAAACAAAUGCAUUCAAAUGAUAGAAAUCUAUGUAUUUUAUUUUCCUAUUAAAUAUCAAUAUAUCACACUGGGGUUCAAAGGGAAAGAACAAAUCUAUGUAUUUUUUAUAUCAUUCUGGAAGUGAAUGUUUGAAUGUCUUUAAUUUCUUCCAACGUGAUUUUUAUGUUUCAUCUGUAUGCUAGUCAUUUUUGUCAUAUUAUUAUUAAGGUGUUGGACCAGUAUUAUUCUUGCACCAUGUUCAAGAUAUUUUUUCAUUAUUAUUUUCUUUUUUUAAUCUCUUGCCUGUGUGGUAUUAAUGAGAACAUUAGUUAAUAUAAAAAUAGUUCUUGAAAUAAAAAAAAAAUACAGGCGAUAUUAGAUACCUGUAUUAGAAUCUGUAUUUCGCUUUUGGCACAAGCUACGCUAUAUAAUUAUUUGUAUUUGUUACAAUAUUAUAGAUUUGCACUGAUUAGGAUCCCAUUCUGAUGUAUCCAAUUGGGUUCAGUAUAACCUAACAUAAUAAACACAAUUUGAUAAUGAUGGAUAAACUUGGCAACUUAGAUGUUUGUGAAUUAAAUUCCCUUUCAGGAUGGCUAAGACUCAUGGGAAUAACGGUAGUUUAAUUUAGAGAAAGAUCUGGAGUGAUUAUAAUGGCCAUUUUUCUUUUAAUUAAAGGUUUAUAACAUGUUUUGAUGUAAGGUUGCAUUUUGAUAUAAAAGAAGUAUCCAUUUUAAUAUAGGCAUGAAGAAGGCUAUUUGUUAAGUGAAAGAAUUGUAUGCAUUAUCACAUUUAGGAAUAGUUGGCCAUAAUAAAGAAGAGCAACAAAAUUACAUCUAGUUGUCAAACGUGUGACAAAGGACCUUUAAAUAGACUGCACGUUUUUUAACAUCCUUUAUGACUUACUUUUUUGAAUGAUGGCCUAGAUUCUAUGACCAGAGAUGAAUUAAAUGUUUGUUACUGAAUAACAUUUCUCCUACUAAAGUCUAAGAGAAAUUAUUAUUCCAUUAGUAGAAAAAUAACCUCCAGUGAGAAUCUGGCCCAAAGAAACCCGAAAGAGUUGCACAUGAUGUAAUCCUGCAGAUUUUGUUAGUGUUAAAACAGCUUUGCCUGUCAAUUGAUUAAUGAUUGUCAGAAAUGAAACCAGCAAAAUAUACCUUCAGCAAUCUUUAAAAAUAGAUAAAUGCAUUUUGCAUUGACAGGGCCAAUUUUGUAUUAUUUAGGUUUAAUUUCUACUUUUUAUGGUGCACUUUGUAGGUUAAAUUACAUACCAGCAUUUUUCUUCUUAAUUGGGCUAAAUGAAUAUAUAUAUGUAUAUAUAAUGUUUAUAUAGUCCACAUGUAUUUCAUCAGCUGACAAAUUUGAUCACGAUUUGUCUCUGUGAGUUCAGUAUGUAUCACAACUCACUUAGAGAGGCUGAUUAAAUCCCAUUGUGCAUUGCUGCAUGUUUUGGCAUUAUAUACAUAAGAAUUAAAAAUGCCAGAGUAAAACCCAAUCCAUAUACAUGACUGCCCAGAUCAAUUUUACAAAUAGGAUAGUGAAAGAUGCUCUCUAUACGGUGGUAUAUAGCUAAAUUUAAAUGGACACUAUACUCACUAAGCACUACAUUAGCUUCAUGUAGCAUUUUGAGCCUGUAGAUCAUGUCUCUCAAGUCUGUGCCAUUUAGGAGUUAAAUUACUUUUGUUUCUGUUUAUGCAGCCCUGCUCACAACCUACCCAGACUGUGACUCACACAGCCUGCAUGAAAUAAUGGUUUCAUUUUCACUGAGAUAACUUAUUUUAGAAAUGUAUAUAUCUGUAAAGUUAGUCACAUCCUGCUCUACACAUAGAGUAGGAGAUUAUAAAUUCUAAAUAAAACAGAAUGUACAAUAAAGAAAAUUUAAAAAUUAGAUCUCUCUUUACAGGAAAUGUUUAGGAAGGCUAUUCAAGUCACAUGCAGGGAGGUGUGACUAUGGCUGUAUAAACAAAGUGAUUUAACUCCUAAAUGGCAGGUUAUUGAGCAGUGCAACUACAGGGGCAUUAUCUAAACUGUUUCAUUAAGCUAAUGUUUGUUUUGUUGACUAUAGAGUCUUUAAGGCAAUCACUGGUGUGGACCAGUGCAGCCACAGAUUCGGUAAAAUGAACAGUGCAUUGUUUUUAUACUUACAGGUUUAACCCAUAUAGGAAAUCCGCAAUGUUGCACUUGAGAUCAUUACUAUUAUGCCAUAUGGUUGGAGAGGGGAGAGCGGCCUGAUUUAAACACCUAUUGAGGUGAUACUGUAUCAUAGCACUUAACAGAAGCACUUAACAUUAAACAAAAAAGACAGCACUUAAUUUUAACACAAUUAUAUAUAUUUUUUUGUAUUUGACUAGUAAUUCUGAACUUUUUAACUAUUGAUGAAAAUGUACUCUUUAAAGUUAUGUUAUGAUUAAAAACAUUUCCACCAUAAAGUGUUAAUCUAAAAGAAACCCUAGUAUCAAAUUAAAGUUUAUGAAAGGGCAUGUACAGCACCCAAGCAUGUGUAUCUGUUAAACUGACACAAUGGGAUCUGUGCAAAAAAUCACUGACAUCAAAUGUCUGGUUUUGGUAAUGCUACAUAUCUAUAUUUUUACUGAAACAGAAUAUACUAUUGCUAAUUUGCCAUACUUUGAUCAUUUUCCUUUCGUUGUGUUUCUUUUAAUUGGUGGUUGACGUUUCUAUUAUUUUAUCAGUUGACUUACUGUUAAUAGUAAAGAACUAACUAACUGAAUAUGACUGUAGUAUAUUAGAAUGUCCAUAUCCCAAAACAGGGAUUCAAUUUCCAGUGCAUUUAGAAAGGUUUGUUCUUCAUCUGUUCUAAAACAUAUGCAGGUUUAAAUGUGUGGGAAUAUUUUAAAUGACUUGUGUAACACUUAUUUUUGUGGGGCUAAUUUCUUACUCAUGAAUGUCUGCAGUAAUUAUAGUAAUUAUUCUUUUUGUCUUUUAACCAAAAUGUCAGUUGCAGUAAUCAUUAAUUUAUUGUGUUUUAUUGAUAAAGUGUGAUAAUUUGUGCAUCUAGGUGAAUUUUGAAUUGUCUUAACAAAACAGUAUUAUAUAUAUAUUUAAUAAUAAAAAGGAAUUAAACUAUGUUUUACGUUAAGCUUACAUGUUUUUAAGACACACUUUGGACCAAACAAAAACUUAAAAUGGUUAAUUCUGCUUUGCACAUUAAAGUAGAGGUAGAAAUUUAGAGUGCUUUCAGAUUAGCUUGCACAAAUAGUAUUAUUUUGUUUUUGAGAAUAUAACAUGUUAUCAAAUAAAUACAUAUAUAUUGUUUUCUUUAAGUGCACCUGUCAUUAAACAAUAUUCUGGGGAACUCCAAAAAGCAUACAAUUUCAAUCUAUAUGUUGCUAGCAAAUGCACAUUUCAAACAGCAUUUUGUCACACAGUUUUAUUUAAAUUUCUAUGUAAUUUCUAUAGGUGAGCAAACACUUACUUUGCAAAUGAUUAGAUACUUGCUCAUGUGCACACAUACAAAGCACCAUUUAAAACCUUGGAGUGCCAUGGGCUGACCAAUGACCAGGUGUUUAGAGAUUUAGAGACCCAAAACUUAGAAAUUAAAAAAUUCUGCUCAAAUGGGGCAAACAGGUUGACAAUUCCUGGACUGUUGAUUACUCCAUUAGAUGUUUGUUAACAAAUUGUGUUCUACAUAAUGUAGCCAUCUUUGUAUGGUAGAGUCUCUAGAAAAUGUUUUAGUACAACUGAAUUACUUCAUAUUUUGUUAGUCUGAUAACCUGUAUAAUGCAAUCCUGUUCAAUCACCCAUAUAUGUUUGUAAUGAAGGAAUCAUAAACUGUUUUAUUUGUUUCUUAACCAUUGUUAUCAUGUUAACAUGCCAGCAAAUAGUUGUUGUUUUUUUAAUUAUUUUAGAAAUGUUGCCUUUUAUAUUGAUAACUAGAUACCAAUCCUGUCACUGAACAUUCAGAAUGGUAAUCUAUUCUUCUGAAUGUAAUAGCCAGUGAGAAGAAAAUAUAUUUUACUACAUAUAAUAGCACUGAUAUUUAUUGAUUUUGUAAAGUCAUUUGUUUUCAAUAUCCAGCUACAGAAAUAUAAUGUUCUUGAUGUAUUUGAACAUGGGUAUUUCAUUCACAUUUGUCACAUCUUUCACUAUAUUUAAUCUCUAACAUUUCAUAUUUGUCAUGUUUUAUGUGUCAUUUUUUUGCAUUUUUAUUAUGUGAAUUUCUGUUCAUUUGUCAAGGAUAAAAUGUAUGCACAUUCAAGUCCAAGAUAUUGAUUGCUGUUUUACCGUAGGCUAGUGCAUUAAAGUUCAGUUGGUUCUGCAAAACCUAAACAUGUUAACUCUCUAUCCUCUCUUUUAUCAAGUACUUAUAUUUGCAGGGAGUGUUUUUAUUUUUCAGUUACUGCAACACAUUUUUUUAUGAGCCUCACUUAAUUGAACAAUGGUGAUUUUUUUUUUAAACAUUUUUGUUAUUGCAAUACUUUUAAAGAAAAAAAAAUAUUAUUCAAAGUGCUGUUGUUAGUUAUAAAUUAAAGGUUUUAUGCUUGUUCUUAAUACCACUGUGUUCAUACCACAGUGAAAAAAAUAAAACAAUAAAAUUGGAGAAUUGCUUUUGUA